UCUUAGUGGUCAAGUUACUCUAUAUGAGAUGAUGGGGCAAAAAAAAACAAAUCUGGUCAGUUGACCAUUUAGCCUUGACCUUAACCAAAACCAUGUCUUGGCUGACCGGAAUCAACUUGAUCAAGGCCCUUAAUCCGGUGGAACUGGCGUAUCUAAUUAUCUGGAUCAGUUUCUAACUAAUAAAUCAUUGAUCCAUGUAC
This 200-nucleotide long non-coding RNA is filed under the name Elaeis guineensis (African oil palm). RNAcentral describes it as "long non-coding RNA (EGUI_LNC038138)". The record is from RNAcentral. Lineage: Eukaryota; Viridiplantae; Streptophyta; Magnoliopsida; Arecales; Arecaceae.